Molecule: long non-coding RNA, 1768 nt
Organism: Eublepharis macularius
Lineage: Eukaryota; Metazoa; Chordata; Lepidosauria; Squamata; Eublepharidae
Exons: 3
Source: RefSeq, a predicted model, not a curated record
UCCUGCUGCGGCUGGUAGAGGCUCUCUGUCUCCAGCUUGGCUGCAGCCUGCCACUGAGGAGGAGAGGGCUUCACCUGGAGGAUUCCUGCCUGCCUGCCUGCCUGCCUGACCAUCACUGGACUGCAGGACUGGCUCCUGCUUGCAAGUGCUGGCAAACUCAAAUCAGCCCCAGUGCCACCUGUUCUUAAUCAUGCUGGCACUAUGACUUGGAGAAGAAUAAUUAACAGCUGCCACUGCAACCCUCUCAAUUAAGAUGCUAAUCAAAAACAUUAAGAGGAAACUGAGAUGCUCAGGAGGAGAAACCAAAAGCUGCAAGGAAAAAAAUCUAAGGCAAAAUCCAGCAACGUUAAGUCUUGGACGCCCAAUGAAGGGAUCCCAUCUGUUUGCUUUGCUCAGUGCUGUACGCGCCUCGAAUUGGGAUUUAAAGGAACUGCUUCACAACCGCGUUUAAAACUUGACUGUGUGGGGAAUUUUGGAAAGGGCCCAGCUUCCUGCUGUAGCGCCCUGAAGUAUUAACUUUCUCAGAACUGCAAAUUGAAGCAGGAAGUGCUAGAUCUGAUAUUUCCAUAAUGACUGGAUGACGACAAAAGGAGAGCUUAAAUUCAUCUGAUGCAAAUCUGCAAUGUGUUAAAAGCGCUGAGCCCUUUUGUAAUUAGAGCCAAGUGUGCAUGUGAGCAUGUGCUGUUGCAAUGAUGUUGACCACAAUGUAAACGUGCAGGCUGGCCCAUGCUCCCACUAAACCAAAUAAAGCCCCCUGAAGGGGAAAGAUGCCAAAGCAGACAAGAAACAGAACACAGUGGAAGCAGCCUGGUUCAAACUGCCCAGCAGGACCAAAAAACAUGUCCCUGACUCCUUACAAGUCUGAGAGCAAUUAAUGGGGACAAAGCUGCCUCUUCCUGGAAGGCUGAGAUAAAUAUGUUCCUAAGAGGAACACUUAUUCUUUGCCCAGAGGUUAUGGGAGGAGGCCCUGUGCUGGUCUGCAAGCCCAUUACCAUGAUAUGGAGUUGAAUCCUGCCUAGACUUCUGUGGGCACAAGGAAGGGAGGUAUUUUCACCAAUAUCUAUCCUCUGGUGGCAGUCUCAGCCUCACAAAUGCUGCUCGGGCGGGGGUGAGGGUGGGUACCCAGGUUUCAGUGUCCCCUCUAGUCAGAUUCAAAUUCUAAUUUCUUUUCAUACUAUUUCAGAAAUAAAAGUAUAUUUUUCUUUUAUAACUCCUGAGACUGCAUGCAGGGGAUAAGAUUUCUGCUGUUAGCAACUGAGGCAAAAAAGGGACCAGUUGAUACCACAGCCAAGUUCACCUAUAAUAACAAUUAAUUGUAUGCUGAUGGACCUAAUACAAGCAGUGAUUUCUCAUGUGUUUACAAUAAGCAGUUCACAAUUGCUUAGUAACUUUGAGAAACUGUUUAAUUACAUUGGGUAUUGAAUGCAAGAAUUCAGAGCUUUGUCUCAGAAGAUAAUAGUAUAAUAGCAUUAUUCAUUUGCCAGAUACAUUCAGUCAGAAAGGAAUUCUCAAAAGGUAACAUUCUCAAGACAAUGGCUUACACAUGCACAAAUGUGGCAUAAGCUGGCUUUGCACUAAAAAGGUGAUAUGCAUACUGAAAUUUCUAACUGCAACGUAUACUACGAACCAAUCAUAUUGUAAUUAAGUACAUUGAUAUUGUGAUGUCAAAAACGCUAUAAAAAUACUGCUGCUCAAGGGAGGAGCCAGAGGGAAACAAUUUGGGGGGCUUCUAAGGCCUGGUUUCCCUCCCACUGUUGCAACAAUGAAA